Long non-coding RNA from Oreochromis aureus, 468 nucleotides. The record is from Ensembl. Lineage: Eukaryota; Metazoa; Chordata; Actinopteri; Cichliformes; Cichlidae.
CUCAUCCAUCCAGAUGGAGGAUCACUAACAGGAGCGUGGGAAGACUCCAGAAUCCACUCUGGCUGGAAUCCGGUGGAUACAGCAGUGUUACAGAACAGUUCUCCACAGUCACUGUCUACAUGGGUCAGUGGGACCAAGAAGCACUCUGCUAAUGUGUGGACUCUGACCAGCAACAUCCAGCAAGACCCAGGCAGCGUUUUCUAUCUCCCAGCUGGAGUUUUUUGUUUGUGACGGGAGAGUCAGAUUUUUGUUGAGGCUGGAGGAACAGCCUCACACUUGCAGAGGUUAAUACACGCUACUGAUCCCUGAUGGGAGAAUCAUCACCUCUGCCAACAAAGAAGCCUGGUGGAUGUUUGUUUGCAGUCUGAUGAUGGGACACCAUGCUCUGCAUCUUCAAAGUUUGUCUCUUGCUUAUUAUUCAUACACAGUAAUGUGAAGUAUGCUUAUAUCUAGUAUAACUGGACCAAC